This 390-nucleotide ribosomal RNA is filed under the name uncultured bacterium. RNAcentral's name for it is "bacterial SSU rRNA". It matches the Rfam family "Bacterial small subunit ribosomal RNA", at positions 28 to 412 of the family's 1533-position model. The record is from RNAcentral.
GACGAACGCUGGCGGCGUGCUUAACACAUGCAAGUGGAGCGACGAACCAGGGCUUGCCCUGGGGCAGAGCCGCGAACGGGUGAGUAACACGUGGGUAACGUGCCCCGAUGAUCGGGACAACCCGGGGAAACCCGGGCUAAUACCGAAUGUGCUCCCCUCACACCAGUGAGGGAUGGAAAGGAAGCUUCGGCCUCCGCAUCGGGAUCGGCCGCGGCCCAUUAGCUUGUUGGUGAGGUAACGGCUCACCAAGGCUGCGAUGGGUAGCUGGUCUGAGAGGACGAUCAGCCACACUGGGACUGAGACACGGCCCAGACUCCUACGGGAGGCAGCAGUGGGGAAUCUUGCGCAAUGCGCGAAAGCGUGACGCAGCAACGCCGCGUGGGGGAAGAC